UACGUAGGUGGCAAGCGUUGUCCGGAAUUAUUGGGCGUAAAGCGCGCGCAGGCGGUCCUUUAAGUCUGAUGUGAAAGCCCACGGCUCAACCGUGGAGGGUCAUUGGAAACUGGGGGACUUGAGUGCAGAAGAGGAAAGCGGAAUUCCACGUGUGGCGGUGAAAUGCGUAGAGAUGUGGAGGAACACCAGUGGCGAAGGCGGCUUUCUGGUCUGUAACUGACGCUGAGGCGCGAAAGCGUGGGGAGCAAACAGG
This 253-nucleotide ribosomal RNA is filed under the name uncultured bacterium. RNAcentral's name for it is "partial 16S ribosomal RNA". It matches the Rfam family "Bacterial small subunit ribosomal RNA", at positions 524 to 776 of the family's 1533-position model. The record is from RNAcentral.